UACGUAGGGUGCGAGCGUUAAUCGGAAUUACUGGGCGUAAAGCGUGCGCAGGCGGUUCGUUGUGUCCGAUGUGAAAGCCCCGAGCUUAACUUGGGAAUGGCAUUGGAAACUGGCGGGCUGGAGUGUGGCAGAGGGGGGUGGAAUUCCACGUGUAGCAGUGAAAUGCGUAGAGAUGUGGAGGAACACCGAUGGCGAAGGCAGCCCCCUGGGCUGACACUGACGCUCAGGCACGAAAGCGUGGGGAGCGAACGGG
Molecule: ribosomal RNA, 253 nt
Filed under: uncultured bacterium
Lineage: Bacteria
Description: partial 16S ribosomal RNA
Rfam family: Bacterial small subunit ribosomal RNA
Source: RNAcentral